AAGCACCCACGGUGCGCUUCCGCGGCUGGUCCGUUUCGACAGCCGUGCUUCGAUCGUCCUCCUGCUCCGGUCGGGACGUUCGAACAAGCGCUGUGCCGCCACGGUAAAGGGACUAGUAAUUGCCGCUGCUGCCGUUUCCGCAGCAUGGCAUUGAAAGUACCGCUAAUCCGAUGGCAAGGAGAGGAGCUUGCUCGACGGGACGCCGCUUCCAUGUCCUUUCGAGCAUGCUGCAAGCUACGUACGCUCGGCAAAGGCUUCCGUAGAAGCUCCGCCGAACGUUCGCUCGUUCGAUGGCAUCGUAUCGAGCGCGCGGACGCGGCAAACGUUGCUCAUUGCUGUGCUGCCAGGC
RNAcentral lists this unclassified non-coding RNA (349 nucleotides) under Trichuris bainae. RNAcentral describes it as "sequence contains ITS2". The record is from RNAcentral. Lineage: Eukaryota; Metazoa; Nematoda; Enoplea; Trichinellida; Trichuridae.